RNAcentral lists this non-coding RNA (148 nucleotides) under Nomascus leucogenys (northern white-cheeked gibbon). The record is from Rfam by way of RNAcentral. Lineage: Eukaryota; Metazoa; Chordata; Mammalia; Primates; Hylobatidae.
GCCAGGUGUGGUGGUGUGUGCCUGUAAUCCCAGCUACUCAGGAGGCUGAGGCAGAAGGAUCUCUUGAGCAUAGGAGUUUGAAGCUGCAGUGGGCUAUGAUUGUGCCACUGCUGUACAGCCUGGGCAAUAGAGUGAGACUCUGUCUCUG